GUUAGGUUAACGAGUUUAUUCGUUAAGGUUUCACUUUAAAUAAAGCUUCUAGUUCUUGUUUGAUGGAGCAUGUUACACAAUAGGUAAAUUCCACAUUGAAAUGAGAGAUACGUACACAUUUUGGCUCGAUGAUUGCAUAGCCCAAGGGACAAAUCCAUAAGGUCUGUAGGGUCAAAGUGGACAAUACGUAUCAUGGGUUUGGGCUGUGACAUAUAGUGUGGAGAGACCAUUCGUUGGGAACUCCAGUAUAGUUGUUGUGUGCUCCAAAACAAGUUUGUGUUAAACAAAUAUAUUUCUACUCCUUCAAUUACUAGCCGUUCCUCUGUUAUAAGCUAUUUAAUUUGUGGAGAUCAUUCAGUUUUUGUUCAUAGCUAUGUGUUCAGUAUUAGCCGAUGUGAUAUCUGAUAUUGAUCUUAUCCUUCGAUUUUCUUAGGUUAUAUUUGUGGUCAGCUUCAU
This 456-nucleotide unclassified non-coding RNA is filed under the name Hevea brasiliensis (rubber tree). Lineage: Eukaryota; Viridiplantae; Streptophyta; Magnoliopsida; Malpighiales; Euphorbiaceae. The record is from RNAcentral.